CAUGCUACGGUGAAUACGUUCCCGGGUCUUGUACUCACCGCCCGUCACACCAUGGGAGUUGAUUUCACUCGAAGCCGGAAUACUAAACUAGUUACCGUCCACAGUGGAAUCAGCGACUGGGGUGAAGUCGUAACAAGGUAACCGUAGGAGAACCUGCGGUUGGAUCACCUCCUUUCUAG
This 179-nucleotide ribosomal RNA is filed under the name Campylobacter jejuni. Its description in RNAcentral is "partial 16S ribosomal RNA". It matches the Rfam family "Bacterial small subunit ribosomal RNA", at positions 1353 to 1533 of the family's 1533-position model. Lineage: Bacteria; Pseudomonadati; Campylobacterota; Epsilonproteobacteria; Campylobacterales; Campylobacteraceae. The record is from RNAcentral.